CAUAAAGCAACUUGAAAAUACAAUCAGUGAAAUGAGCCCCAGGACCCUAGUUGAUACCCCAUGUUCUUCCAACAGAGAUUGUGGUGCAAGCUUGCCCCACAUAACCCAAGAGGUCUCUCCCCGGUCCUUGCUAGUUCUGGAUGAAGUGCCCCCUGCCCCAGAGCCCCCUACGUCCAUAUCUUCAGCUUCACGUAAGGGUUCCAGCACUACCCCACAGACAAGCCGGAUGCCAGUGCCCAUGACUUCUAAGAACAGACCCGGAAGCCUGGAUAAGGCCAGCAAGCCAUCCAAACUACAGGAUCCCCGCCAAUACCGUCAGGUAGUUUUACCUUAAACCCAAUUUCGGAUGGACACUAUUGCAAUUAAGAAGCCAGUCGCUGACUUAGUUCCUACUAAAUUCUGUGUUUUCUUUGUGAGAGAUCGUUUACGUAGACAUCCUGGAUCUGGGGGGCAUGGAGAAAGUCUAAAAGAACCUGCGUUAAACUUUUCACCACCCUCUUGCAUGCUUACAAUAAAACAUCUUUUACUUUGUGACUUC
Molecule: long non-coding RNA, 538 nt
Filed under: Rattus norvegicus (Norway rat)
Lineage: Eukaryota; Metazoa; Chordata; Mammalia; Rodentia; Muridae
Description: long non-coding RNA NONRATT012672
Source: RNAcentral